GUGGGUAAAAAUAUUGGCAGCACAUAUAACAAAACUGGAAUGAUACAGAAAGACUGGCAUGGCCCCUGUGCUAGGGUGACAUGCAAAUUGGUCAAGUGUUUUCUAUUUUU
Small nuclear RNA from Talpa occidentalis (Iberian mole), 110 nucleotides. NCBI's taxonomy places the organism in Eukaryota, Metazoa, Chordata, Mammalia, Eulipotyphla, Talpidae. The record is from RefSeq and is a predicted model, not a curated record.